This 1522-nucleotide long non-coding RNA is filed under the name Citrus sinensis (sweet orange). RNAcentral describes it as "long non-coding RNA (CSIN_LNC002436)". The record is from RNAcentral. Lineage: Eukaryota; Viridiplantae; Streptophyta; Magnoliopsida; Sapindales; Rutaceae.
UCACCUCUCUUCUAUUUUUAGUUAUACAAAGGUGUCCGAGCUUGGUAUCUUUUCCAGAGGAUGGUUUUCCCACCAACCUCCAAUCAGUUGUGGUUGAUGAUCCGAAAAUAUCAAAGCCAUUGCUCGAGUGGGGAUUGAACAGAUUCACCUCUCUGAGGCGAUUCACAAUCAGGGGAGGAUGUCCAGACCUGGUGUCACUGCUGUACCGUACAUCCGCCUUGGCCGUACAGCAGAAAUCUUCUAUUUCUUGGUGGGUUCUAAAUCGUUUCCUUCUCUUGAUGUUCAUAGAUGUUUGAACAGGUUAGAUGUUUGACGGAAUGAAUUAGAUUUUCGAUGAAAUGCCUCUGUGAUCAGCCUUAUCCUGAACCUCAACAUCCGCACUCUGUACAGCAGGUAUUGACAUGGCAACUGACUCAGCAGAAACUGAUGACUCAUAGUAAGGAUGAUUUUGCAUAAAGUAUUGUAUAAAACAAGUGUAAAUUGACCUUUGUAAAGUUUAGUGAAUCAUGUCCAUUAGAUUGAAAUGAACUUGGGGUUCAUUAGAUUUUUCUUGAUCAUAAUAUUUUGAUAAGAUGAAAUGAACUUGGGGUUGACUAACUCGUUAACUUAUAGACUUGAAAUUGGAGUGCAGGUCAAUAAAAAUUGUCUCUUUACUCUUGUUUCAGGAAUCAGAUUCAAUCCAUCUCAGAACAUUGAGAUCAAAUUAUCAUUUUUACUAUUAAGUAAAUUGGUUAAAAUAGAAAACGUCCCUAUGAAUUGCUAGUCAUGUCAUGCAACUGUAUAUAGAAAAUUAUUCAAUGCAUCACAAUACAAAGUCAUGAGUGGUAAUAUAUUAUUUAGAAUUCAGAUUAUGUAUCAACCAUAUGUACAAGUUUAUAUAUCCUUAAUUAAAUAUUUUACAUAUAUUUUGCGACGUAUUGAUUUCUUGUAAUCAAAUUAUAGAUGAUUUCAUGUAUUCCAACUGUUGAUGAAUUGACAUCAUUAAAUAGUAUUUUUUUUUAUUUUGAUUAAUGAUUCAGAUAUUACGACAAAAUUUUCAGUAAAGAAAACAAGUAAUAAAAAAUUAAAUAUAUAAAAAAUUAUGGCAAACUUUUCAUAAUCUUUUCGAUCAAAUAUAAAAUUUGCAUAAAAAUAAAUUUUAAUCGUAGAAUAAUUAUUAAUUAGAGAAAUAUUUAAAAAAUAAGUUGUUCUAUACGUAAUUUUUAGUUAUACAAAGGUGUCCGAGCUUGGUAUCUUUUCCAGAGGAUGGUUUUCCCACCAACCUCCAAUCAGUUGUGGUUGAUGAUCCGAAAAUAUCAAAGCCAUUGCUCGAGUGGGGAUUGAACAGAUUCACCUCUCUGAGGCGAUUCACAAUCAGGGGAGGAUGUCCAGACCUGGUGUCAUCUCCACGGUUUCCUGCCUCUCUAACCGUACUGGAGAUUUUUGACAUGCCAAAUCUGAAACACCUUUCCUCAAUUAGUGAAAACCUCACUUCUUUGGAAUUUCUGUAUCUCGAUAAAUGUCCGAAGCUCAAAUACUUUUC